RNAcentral lists this small nuclear RNA (107 nucleotides) under Sorex araneus (European shrew). The record is from RNAcentral. Lineage: Eukaryota; Metazoa; Chordata; Mammalia; Eulipotyphla; Soricidae.
GUUCUCUCUUCAGCAGCACAUGUACUAAAAUUGGAACGAUACAGAGAAGAUUAGUAUGGCCCCUGCGCAAGGAAGACAUGCAAAUUCAUGAAGCAUUCCAUAUUUUU